AUUGAACGCUGGCGGCAUGCUUUACACAUGCAAGUCGAACGGCAGCGCGGGCUUCGGCCUGGCGGCGAGUGGCGAACGGGUGAGUAAUACAUCGGAACGUGCCCAGUAGUGGGGGAUAGCUCGGCGAAAGCCGGAUUAAUACCGCAUACGACCUGGGGGUGAAAGCGGGGGAUCUUCGGACCUCGCGCUAUUGUAGCGGCCGAUGGCAGAUUAGCUAGUUGGUGGGGUAAAGGCCUACCAAGGCGACGAUCUGUAGCUGGUCUGAGAGGACGACCAGCCACACUGGGACUGAGACACGGCCCAGACUCCUACGGGAGGCAGCAGUGGGGAAUUUUGGACAAAGGGCGAAAGCCUGAUCCAGCAAUGCCGCGUGUGUGAUGAAGGCCUUCGGGUUGUAAAGCACUUUUGGCGGGAACGAAAAGGACUGUGCCAAUACCACGGUUCGAUGACGGUACCCGCAGAAUAAGCACCGGCUAACUACGUG
RNAcentral lists this ribosomal RNA (484 nucleotides) under uncultured bacterium. RNAcentral describes it as "partial 16S ribosomal RNA". It matches the Rfam family "Bacterial small subunit ribosomal RNA", at positions 29 to 507 of the family's 1533-position model. The record is from RNAcentral.